UUUUUCCCGCGUGUGUGUGAGGACUGCCGAAAGGGCUACCUGCUAUUUGGAGAAGCGAUCAAUAGCCAUGCGAGUCAGGGGACUUCGGUCACCGGCGGAAUGCUCAGUAACACGUGGACAAUCUGCCCUCGGGUGGGGAAUAAACUCGCGAAAGUGAGGCUAAUACCCCAUAGGCACAGGAGGCUGGAAUGCAUCUGUGCCCAAAGCUCCGGCGCCCGAGGAUGAGUCUGCGGCCUAUCAGGUAGUAGUCAGGGUCAAGACCUGACUAGCCAGCGACGGGUACGGGCCUUGAGAGAGGUCGCCCGGAGAUGGACUCUGAGACACGAGUCCAGGCCCUACGGGGCGCAGCAGGCGCGAAAACUUCGCAAUGCAGGAAACUGUGACGAGGGAACUCCAAGUGUCCAUGCAUUGCAUGGACUGUUUGCCAGCCUAAAAAGCUGGUAGAGUAAGGGGUGGGAAAGACCGGUGCCAGCCGCCGCGGUAACACCGGCACCUCAAGUGGUAGCCACUAUUAUUGGGCCUAAAGCGUUCGUAGCCGGCUUGGUUAAUUCCUGGGUAAAUCGUACCGCUCAACGGUGCGGAUUCCGGGGACACUACCAGGCUUGAGACCGGGGGAGAUCAGAGGUACUUGUGGGGGAGCGGUGAAAUGUUGUAAUCCCGCAGGGACCACCAAUGGCGAAGGCAUCUGAUCAAAACGGCUCUGACGGUGAGGGACGAAACCCUGGGGCGCAAACGGGAUUAGAUACCCCGGUAGUCCAGGGCGUAAACGCUGCUGACUUGGUGUUGGGGGCCCUGCGAGGGCGUCCAGUGCCGGCACGAAGGUAUUGAGUCAGCCGCCUGGGGAGUACGGUCGCAAGACUGAAACUAAAGGAAUGGCGGGAGCACUGCAACGAGUCGGAGCGUGCGGGUUUAAUUGGAUCAACACACGCGCCCGGGAAA
This 939-nucleotide ribosomal RNA is filed under the name uncultured Thermococcus sp. Its description in RNAcentral is "bacterial SSU rRNA". It matches the Rfam family "Archaeal small subunit ribosomal RNA", at positions 1 to 925 of the family's 1478-position model. Lineage: Archaea; Methanobacteriati; Methanobacteriota; Thermococci; Thermococcales; Thermococcaceae. The record is from RNAcentral.